Molecule: microRNA precursor, 99 nt
Filed under: Marmota monax (woodchuck)
Lineage: Eukaryota; Metazoa; Chordata; Mammalia; Rodentia; Sciuridae
Source: RNAcentral
AAUGGGAUUAUUGGGUGAUGAUAAAUAUAUGUUCAACUUUAGAAGAAACUGCCAAGUUUUUCCAAAGUGAUUGGAGCACUUUACAUCCCCACUAUUAAU